CGAUUGUUUUUCCGGGCUCACAAUCAAACCCUUACACACGUUGGUUUUUAACUUGGCUCACCAACCAACCUUAAACCCCUUGAUUCAAUCCCCCGAUUGAAUCAAGUAAAUACAAGAGAUAGGAGAAAACAGAAAAUAGCUUCUCAAAAAGCAGAUUUAAGACAAUAUAAUCGUAAAAGAGUUAGAAGCCCUCAAACGCUUUUAAGCUGGUGAAGAGGUAUGGCUUCUGGAACUCCGGUCUCCUCUUGAAAGAGUGGUCGACUUGAAUGCAGGAGGAGGAAGCUUUGAUUGUUGGGAAGAAGUUGUUGGAGCAGUAAAUGCAGAUCUCCCCUUUUUC
This 337-nucleotide long non-coding RNA is filed under the name Phoenix dactylifera (date palm). Its description in RNAcentral is "long non-coding RNA (PDAC_LNC022638)". The record is from RNAcentral. Lineage: Eukaryota; Viridiplantae; Streptophyta; Magnoliopsida; Arecales; Arecaceae.